GGGCACUUGGCGCAGUGGUAGCGCGCCUCAUUUGCAAUCACGUAAUCUUGAUUACGUAAGCUUGAGGAGGGCGUGGGUUCAAUCCCCACAGUGUCCA
Non-coding RNA from Tulasnella sp. 417, 97 nucleotides. The record is from the annotation of a GenBank genome assembly. NCBI's taxonomy places the organism in Eukaryota, Fungi, Basidiomycota, Agaricomycetes, Cantharellales, Tulasnellaceae.